CCAGCCACCGCGGUUAUACAAAUAAUGCAAAUAAAAUUUUUUAGUGUCAGUUAAAUUGAAAGAAUUGAAAAAAUUAAAUUAAAUUUAUUAAGUAAAAUUUUAAAUUUUUAUAGUUUUUUAAUAAAUUUUUAUUUAAGCUGUUAAACUUUAUUAAUAAACUAGGAUUAGAUACCCUAUUAUUUAAAGUGUAAAAUUUAAAUACUUGAGUAGUAAUAGUUAUUAUCUUGAAACUUAAAGAAUUUGGCGGUGUUUUAGUCUAUUUAGAGGAAUCUGUUCUGUAAUCGAUAGCCCACGUUGAACCUUUCUUAAUUUUUAGUUUGUAUACCGCCGUUGUCAGAAUAUCUUAAUAGAGUAAAUUUCUUUAUUUAUUAGUGUAAAUUACAUCAGGUCAAGGUGCCGCUUAUAAUUAAGUAGAAAUGGAUUACAAUAAAGAUUAUUUAUAUGGUAAAUUGUUUGAAAAUAAUGGCUUUAAAGUGGAUUUAAUAGUAAAUUAAUAUAGAUUGAUUAAUUGAUUUUAGCUCUAAAACAUGUACACAUCGCCCGUCGCUCUUAUUAUUAAAGUAAGAUAAGUCGUAACAUAGUAGAUGUACCGGAAGGUGUUUCUAGAAUAA
RNAcentral lists this ribosomal RNA (611 nucleotides) under Thaumalea sp. ZK-2019. RNAcentral's name for it is "12S ribosomal RNA". The record is from RNAcentral. Lineage: Eukaryota; Metazoa; Arthropoda; Insecta; Diptera; Thaumaleidae.